RNAcentral lists this ribosomal RNA (253 nucleotides) under uncultured prokaryote. RNAcentral describes it as "partial 16S ribosomal RNA". It matches the Rfam family "Bacterial small subunit ribosomal RNA", at positions 525 to 777 of the family's 1533-position model. The record is from RNAcentral.
ACGUAGGGUGCGAGCGUUAAUCGGAAUUACUGGGCGUAAAGUGUGCGCAGGCGGCGUCGCAAGUCGAGUGUGAAAGCCCCGGGCUUAACUUGGGAAUUGCGCUCGAAACUACGGUGCUGGAGUAUGGCAGAGGAAGGUGGAAUUCCACGUGUAGCGGUGAAAUGCGUAGAUAUCUGGAGGAACAUCAGUGGCGAAGGCGGCUUCCUGGCCCAAAACUGACGCUGAGGUGCGAAAGCGUGGGGAGCAAACAGGA